UGGGGAAUAUUGCACAAUGGGCGAAAGCCUGAUGCAGCGACGCCGCGUGCGGGAUGAAGGCCUUCGGGUUGUAAACCGCUUUCAGCAGGGACGAGGCCGCAAGGUGACGGUACCUGCAGAAGAAGCCCCGGCUAACUACGUGCCAGCAGCCGCGGUAAUACGUAGGGGGCAAGCGUUAUCCGGAUUCAUUGGGCGUAAAGCGCGCGUAGGCGGUUUGUUAGGUCAGGAGUUAAAUCUGGGGGCUCAACCCCUAUCCGCUCCUGAUACCGGCAGGCUUGAGUCUGGUAGGGGAAGGCGGAAUUCCAAGUGUAGCGGUGAAAUGCGCAGAUAUUUGGAAGAACACCGGUGGCGAAGGCGGCCUUCUGGGCCACGACUGACGCUGAGGCGCGAAAGCUAGGGGAGCGAACAGG
RNAcentral lists this ribosomal RNA (410 nucleotides) under Verrucomicrobiota bacterium. Its description in RNAcentral is "Verrucomicrobia bacterium partial 16S ribosomal RNA". It matches the Rfam family "Bacterial small subunit ribosomal RNA", at positions 355 to 776 of the family's 1533-position model. Lineage: Bacteria; Pseudomonadati; Verrucomicrobiota. The record is from RNAcentral.